GAUGAACGCUGGCGGCGUGCCUAAUACAUGCAAGUCGAGCGAACGGACGAGAAGCUUGCUUCUCUGAUGUUAGCGGCGGACGGGUGAGUAACACGUGGAUAACCUACCUAUAAGACUGGGAUAACUUCGGGAAACCGGAGCUAAUACCGGAUGAUAUUUUGAACCGCAUGGUUCAAAAGUGAAAGACGGUCUUGCUGUCACUUAUAGAUGGAUCCGCGCUGCAUUAGCUAGUUGGUAAGGUAACGGCUUACCAAGGCAACGAUGCAUAGCCGACCUGAGAGGGUGAUCGGCCACACUGGAGCUGAGACACGGUCCAGACUCCUACGGGAGGCAGCAGUAGGGAAUCUUCCGCAAUGGGCGAAAGCCUGACGGAGCAACGCCGCGUGAGUGAUGAAGGGCUUCGGAUCGUAAAACUCUGUUAUUAGGGAAGAACAUAUGUGUAAGUAACUGUGCACAUCUUGACGGUACCUAAUCAGAAAGCCACGGCUAACUACGU
Molecule: ribosomal RNA, 496 nt
Filed under: uncultured bacterium
Lineage: Bacteria
Description: partial 16S ribosomal RNA
Rfam family: Bacterial small subunit ribosomal RNA
Source: RNAcentral